RNAcentral lists this ribosomal RNA (585 nucleotides) under uncultured bacterium. RNAcentral describes it as "bacterial SSU rRNA". It matches the Rfam family "Bacterial small subunit ribosomal RNA", at positions 11 to 589 of the family's 1533-position model. The record is from RNAcentral.
GUUUGAUCAUGGCUCAGAUUGAACGCUGGCGGCGUGCUUAACACAUGCAAGUCGUGCGGUAACAGGCGUAGCAAUACGUGCUGACGAGCGGCGAACGGGUGCGUAAUACAUGGGAAUCUGCCCUUUGGUGGGGAAUAACCCGGCGAAAGCCGGGCUAAUGCCGCAUAAGAUCUUCGGAUGAAAGCGGGGGAUCGUAAGACCUCGCGCCGAUGGAUGAGCCCAUGUCGGAUUAGCUAGUUGGUGAGGUAACGGCUCACCAAGGCGACGAUCCGUAGCUGGUCUAAGAGGACGGCCAGCCACACUGGGACUGAGACACGGCCCAGACUCCUACGGGAGGCAGCAGUGGGGAAUACUGGACAAUGGGCGAAAGCCUGAUCCAGCGACGCCGCGUGUGUGAAGAAGGCCUGCGGGUUGUAAAGCACUUUCGAUGGGAACGAAAUGUGCCGGGCUAAUAUCCCGGCAAGCUGACGUUACUCAAUGAAGAAGCACCGGCUAACUCUGUGCCAGCAGCCGCGGUAAUACAGAGGGUGCGAGCGUUAAUCGGAAUUACUGGGCGUUAAGCGCACGUAGGUGGCGACGUAAGUC